CACAUCAGCUCGAGUGAGUUUACGCGCUAAACUUAAACAUAUCAGUCGGCGCAGCUUAAUAGAAACUAACCAGGAUUUCCUUAGUAACGGCGAGUGAACAGGAAUACUUAUUCGUUCAGCCCAACGAUUAAAUCACUUCUUGAUAUUAGGCACUCUGUGUCUUACGUCAGAAUGAAUUGUAGCAAUCGUAUUAAAACUAAAUGACUAUUUCAAUUAAACGUUGUAUUAAACACAUUUCAUACUUUUAUUGAUAAAGUUGUUAACGUGAUUUUAUUUUCAUUUAUAAUGAAACACACAGCAUUACGCGCUGGAAAGCAAGUGUUUACCUUGCCUUAGAAUGUGACAGCCAUGUUCUUAUAUUGAAACCACGUAUUCUAACACACUUUUUAAUAAUGGAUAUACGUAAAUCGUUUAUUUAUUGAAGUCUUUAGUAUUUUAUAAUUUCUCUUUAUAUUUCAAUAAAGUUGAAUUCUAACCUGAGUCGAGUUGUUUGGGACUACAGCUCUAAUUGUUUGGUGGUGGUAAUGACUCAUCAAAGGCUAAAUAGUGGUGAUUAAACUUUGCAACGGAGACCGAUAGCAUACAAGUACCGUAAGGGAACGAUGAAAAGCACCCUUCUUAGCACGUAGCUAUUCAUUUAGUUACAAGCUCCAUCGGGAGUGAGAGAGAGAGUGAAACCGCCUGUGCUUUUUCUUAUAAGUGAACACACUAUUUUAUUUUACGUUUUGCGUAAUUUAAAAACACUUUACUUCUAUUUAGCGAAGUACAAUCGGACAGAGUGUUUGAUGUUCUAUUCUAUAGAACAAUGCGGUCUUCUAUUUGCGUUUUUUCGUAAAUUGGAUGACUCGCGAGUCAACGUGUUUUACACUUUAAACACAACUGUUUGACCCGUUUUGAAACACGGACCAAGGAGUUCAACUGGACUGCGAGUAUUUGAGUUUUAAACUCUUUUAGUGCGCAACGAAAGUAAAUCAAAUGUAUUGUAUUUUUACAAUUCAAUUUAAGCUUUUGAAGUAACUUGUUCUGACUUCGGUGAGAUCAGUCUUGUUUAUUUAUUUAACCAAGAUUCAUUUAGCUUAAUAGCAUUUCGGUUGAGACCCGAAAGAUGGUGAACUAUGCUCGGACAUGGUGAAGUCAGGAGAAAUCUUGAUGGAAGCUUGCGUUGUGCGGAACUGACGUGCAAAUCGUUACCGCCUGACCUGUGUAUAGGGGCGAAAGACUCAUCGAACCAUCUAGUAGCUGGUUCCCUCCGAAGUUUCCCUUAGGAUAGCUCGAUACUCUCUAAGAGUAAUACAAGGGUAAAGCAAUGAGACGCGGUAUCUGUGGGUCUUUAUUUAUGACCUCGGCCUUCUCUCAAACUUUAAAUCUGUAUGUAAACAUAUUUGUUUACUUAAAAGUUAAUACUUUGUAUUAACGCGAAACUAUGUUUCUCAUCAAUUAAUUCGUAGUGGGCCAUUUCUGGUAAGCAGAACUGGCGAUGAGGGAUUCAACCUGACGUUUUCAAGAUAAGCCGGGCUUAAUCUUAUCUGCUCCAACCUUCCGAUAAACGCGAAAGGGUGUUCCGUGUGGUGUAGACAGCAGGACGGUGGCCAUGGAAGUCGGAAUCCGCAUAAGGACUCGUGUAACAACUCACCUGCAGAAUCACACCGCCCCGAAAACGGAUGGCGCUCAAGCAGUUAAAUACAUACUUGUGUGUAUUAGAUUACCCGACACUUGACUAUUGACAAUGUACUUUUUGUAUUCGUCAAUAAGUAGGAGGUUUAUGCGUAAAGAGACACUCACGUUUAUUGUCAUUUGACUUUAAAUGUUUAUAUAUUUAGAAGCGGUUACUCGUAAGAGACCGUUGAAUUCUCUUUAGUGCAGAUCUUGGUACUAGUAGCAAGGAGUCUUACUGAGAUUUACUUUAUUAUUAACCGAGGAUGACCGAAGCGGAGAAAGGUUCCAUGUUGCAGCUUAGUGCGUCGUGGGUGAGUCAGUCCUAAGGCCACGUCUGAAACAGACUUCAAUAUGUUUAUUGCUUAUUUAACUUCGGUUUUUUAAAACGUAAACUUUUCGGCUAAACGGGAAGCUAGUUAAUAUUCUAGCACCAAGAUAGGACAGUAAAUUAAAUCAACUUUUUUAUAGCUUUUAGCUAUUCUGUUUUGAUAUUUACUACACACGCAACAACUUUGGACAUCUCCUAUUGAAUUUCUUUCAACGAAAGUAUUCAAUUUAGUCUAUCUUUAUUUAUNAUCUUUUAAAUCAGAUAGUACUAAAACUAUUAAAAUUGCUAAAUCGCGGCAACGAAUAAUUGAGUUGUUUUCGAACGACUUUUAACCACAAGGCAGAUUACUUGAGGUGUUAAUCCUAGCAAGGUUAUCUAACUUGUUUAACCAUUUACUAAACAACAAACGUUUAUAUAAAUACUAUUUGGCUUUUUUCAUUUAAAACACACUUAUGAAUUAAUUGAUUUUUGUCUUUAGUUUUAUUUAAACACAUGUUUGUCAGUUGAGUGUCGAGCGGCAUUUAGUGAACGACGACUCCGCUAUUUACCCAUUCAUGGGAAUAACGUUGGUACACGUAGUUGUUCUUCGGACCAUCUCGUGUAAUUAACCUGACGUUUGUGGAUUUAACGUUCUCAGGCGUGAAAAGUCUGUCUCGUAAAUUAUUUUAUUUACGUAUUUUAAUACUUUAUGUAUUAAUAUUACAACACACGUAUUUGAAUCUAUACAUUAUAUGACAACUGUUAUCUUGUCUGUACUCAUAACCGCAUCAGGUCUCCAAGGUUAGCAGCCUUUGGUCGUAUAGAAAUACGGUGGGUAAGGGAAGUCGGCAAAUUUGGUCCGUACUUACGAUAGAAGGACUGGCUCCGAAGGUGCAUCACCUUUGAGAACUGGCAUGGACUCGGGGAAUCCGACUGUUUAAUUAAAACAUAGCAAGCGCAAUACUUUUCUGGGUUUGCUAUCGGAGCUAACUUCGGUUUAUUCUGUUUAGCGCCCUACUUCUCUAUGUAGUCUAUGAAAUAGAUUUGAACGCUUUAUGUAUUCUGCCCAGUGCUCUGCAAGUUAUUCUGAGUGGCUUCAGCAUUUUAAGCGCGGGUCAACGGCGGGAGUAACUAUGACUCUCUUAAACCUAUAUGGUUUAAUUAUAUAUACUUUUUUUUUAAAAAAUUGUAUAUAUAUAAAACUCUCAUUUGGCAUAUUAUUAUUACCUUGAGAGAAAUAGACCAACAUGUAUUUAAAACCUAUUUUCUUUUCAAUUUAAAUACUUGUUACUUGGUCUAGUGGCAACGCAAUUUUAAUUACAGGAUGUGCGUUCUGCGAGACAAGCUGGUUAGAGGAAGGUUCUAUUGUGUUUAAUACAUAAGACUAACCUCUAGAUGAAACUUCUCAAUUUUUUAUUAAUUUAAAAAAAAAAUGAUUAGUUCAUGUAGAGCUCGCCAAGCUGUCGGUUAUGGGUUAGAUUGAUUUUUUUUUCUUUCUUUUGGAAUAAAAAAAAGAGGAUAUUUUAUCAUAGCUUAAGGAACGGGCCUUUAUUCAUACGAAAGUAUGUGUUAUAUUUACAAGCCUGUAACUUGAAGAUAUAACAGGGUUUCUAUUUAUUUAGUUACUCAAUAAUAAGCAUAAUUCUUUUUAGCUUUUAUGUAGCUGAUAUAAAGAAGGUAGCCAAAUGCCUCGUCAUUUAAUUGGUGACGCGCAUGAAUGGAUCAACGAGAUUCCCACUGUCCCUACUCACUCUCUAGCGAAAUUACAGCCAAGCCAACGGUCUUGGGAUUAUGUACUUGUGUGUCUUUGUGUCACAUGAAGCAACAUUUUUAAACAUACAACAGCGGGGCAAGAAGACCCUUUUGAGCUUGACUCUAAUCUGUUAUUGUCAUCUGGUCGGCAUGGUGAAGAUCGUAAGAGGCAGUAUCAUUCACUUGUGCGACCAUGAAACACCGCUACUUGCCGAUUUGGCUGACUUACUGUUUUAGCAUUGACCUUCUUCAGUAUUGGUAAUAACCGCUCUUACGUAUCGACUCGUCUUUACGUUUGAACGCGCGUCCUAAAUGUGUAACUUUGUUACUUGAUUCUAUGUCUUUAGAACUUUGUUCUAUUGACUGUGAAGCAUUUAACGCAUAUGUGCUUUACUUAUUAUUGCAUUCUGAGCUUUGUUUACGGGCCUAGUUCUUACGAACGCAAAUGCCCAACAUAUAGCAAUUGAACAGGACACUUGCAGACUGGGAGUUUGGCUGGGGUGGCACAUCUGUUAUAAUGCAACACAGGUGUUCCAAGAGCAGCUCCGUGAGAACAGAAACCUCUCUUAGAGUAUAAGGGCAAAAGCUGCUUUGAUCUUGCAUGCUCAGUAAUCAUGCACAAUGAAUAAUACUCGUUUGUAACUUGUUAUAAACUUGUCAAACAUGAAAUUGCGACCUCGCGAGCCUUUGGUUUACGUAUGAAUUCUAUGUUCCUAUGUUAUUUAGCACUUGUUUUAUUGGUUUACAGACUAUUACUUCUCGUAACAAGUCUUUUUCCUUUACGCUUUUAUGUGCUUUCUACUUAGUUACUUCUUUCUUUUGCGGCUAGAGGUGUCAGAAAAGUUACCACAGGGAUAACUGGCUUGUGGCCGCGGAGCGUUCAAAGCGAUGCGGCUUUUUGAUUCUUCGAUGUCGGCUCUUCCUAACCUAGGCCCGCAUCUGAGCCUAAGGGUAAGUUUGUUCACCUGCCAACAGGGAACGUGAGCUGGGUUUAGACCGUCGUGAGACAGGUUGGU
This 4731-nucleotide ribosomal RNA is filed under the name Rotaliella elatiana. RNAcentral describes it as "LSU rRNA". The stretch from base 520 to 4731 matches the Rfam family "Eukaryotic large subunit ribosomal RNA", at positions 1 to 2987 of the family's 3401-position model. Lineage: Eukaryota; Foraminifera; Rotaliida; Rotaliidae. The record is from RNAcentral.